This 128-nucleotide ribosomal RNA is filed under the name uncultured eukaryote. RNAcentral describes it as "partial small subunit ribosomal RNA". It matches the Rfam family "Eukaryotic small subunit ribosomal RNA", at positions 1651 to 1769 of the family's 1831-position model. The record is from RNAcentral.
CCCUGCCUUUUGUACACACCGCCCGUCGCUACUACCGAUGAAGUGCUUAGCAAGAACGAUGGACGGCUAGUAGUAUGCCUGCAUUUCGGUGUUGGAAACUACUUGGCUGAAAGUCGUUCAAGCUUGUC